AGAGUUUGAUCCUGGCUCAGGACGAACGCUGGCGGCGUGCCUAAUACAUGCAAGUCGAGCGGUCCCUUCGGGGAUAGCGGCGGACGGGUGAGUAACACGUAGGCAACCUGCCUGUAAGACUGGGAUAACUACCGGAAACGGUAGCUAAGACCGGAUAAUUGGUUUCUUCGCAUGGAGAGAUCAUGAAACACGGAGCAAUC
This 200-nucleotide ribosomal RNA is filed under the name uncultured bacterium. RNAcentral describes it as "partial 16S ribosomal RNA". It matches the Rfam family "Bacterial small subunit ribosomal RNA", at positions 8 to 212 of the family's 1533-position model. The record is from RNAcentral.